RNAcentral lists this ribosomal RNA (460 nucleotides) under uncultured bacterium. RNAcentral's name for it is "partial 16S ribosomal RNA". It matches the Rfam family "Bacterial small subunit ribosomal RNA", at positions 338 to 795 of the family's 1533-position model. The record is from RNAcentral.
CCUACGGGCGGCAGCAGUAGGGAAUAUUGCUCAAUGGGGGAAACCCUGAAGCAGCAACGCCGCGUGGAGGGAGGAAGGUACAGAGUAUCGUAAACCUCUUUUGUCAGGGAACAAAGACUGGGACGCGUCCCCGGAUGAGUGUACCUGAAGAAAAAGCAUCGGCUAACUCCGUGCCAGCAGCCGCGGUUAAACGGGGGAUGCGAGCGUUAUCCGGAUUGAUUGGGUUUAAAGGGUGCGCAGGCGGUCUGUAAAGUCAGCGUUAAAAGCCCGGGGCUCACCCCGGGGCCGCCGUUGAAACUGGCAGUCUCGAGUUGGAGAGAAGUAUGCGGAAUGCGCGGUGUAGCGGUGAAAUGCAUAGAUAUCGCGCAGAACUCCGAUUGCGAAGGCAGCAUGCCGGCUCCACACUGACGCUGAGGCACGAAAGCGUGGGUAUCGAACAGGAUUAGAUACCCUAGUAGUC